RNAcentral lists this ribosomal RNA (382 nucleotides) under uncultured bacterium. Its description in RNAcentral is "bacterial SSU rRNA". It matches the Rfam family "Bacterial small subunit ribosomal RNA", at positions 28 to 404 of the family's 1533-position model. The record is from RNAcentral.
GACGAACGCUGGCGGCGUGCUUAACACAUGCAAGUCGAGCGGUAAGGCCCUUUCGGGGGUACACGAGCGGCGAACGGGUGAGUAACACGUGGGUAAUCUGCCCUCGGUUCUGGGAUAGCCCGGGGAAACCCGGAUUAAUACCGGAUGGCCUCUCGAGCUUUUCGGGGCACGAGAGAAAAGGUAGCUUCGGCCUCCGACCGAGGAUGAGCCCGCGGCCGAUUAGCUUGUUGGCGGGGUAACGGCCCACCAAGGCGACGAUCGGAGCUGGUCUGAGAGGACGAUCAGCCACACUGGGACUGAGACACGGCCCAGACUCCUACGGGAGGCAGCAGUGGGGAAUCUUGCGCAAUGGGCGAAAGCCUGACGCAGCGACGCCGCGUGC